Long non-coding RNA from Dermacentor silvarum, 1756 nucleotides. RefSeq lists it as uncharacterized. The transcript is spliced from 3 exons. Lineage: Eukaryota; Metazoa; Arthropoda; Arachnida; Ixodida; Ixodidae. The record is from RefSeq and is a predicted model, not a curated record.
UGCUGUAGAUUUAAUCUCUCUCCCUCGUGCCAUGCGCACCGCGCUUAUCAUCAAACCCCUCCAUAAGAACGUCCACCCAGAACACCAUCAAUCACGCUGCGUCGUGCGAGCCAAAGCUCUCCAUAACGCUGGCUGGACGGCGUGUGUGGUCCAGACCGUUCUGUAGCUGUGGCUGUGGCGCACGCCACCUUAGAGUUAGACCACAUCAUCUUUGGCAAUGCCUCCUUUUUUUUUUUUAGGAGGCAUUGUCUUUGGCUGCCCCGCCGAUCCUCCUCCGCAGGGACAGCCCGCCAUCGGAGCAUGGGAGGAAUGGGAGGACCACCUUGCGUCGCAGGGCACGGAACGCCCAACUUCGCUGCGUGAACCGGCGUGUCAGUGCCAUGUCCCUACGUGGCCUGGACACAUGCGCGUAAUGUGAGGGCUGUGCGGUGGCCCUGGGCUCUUGAAGGGUCCAAACUCGCUCGCUUAAUAAAGUUUUUCCACCCAUUACGUUUUGAGCGCGCAUGUCUGUGGAUUCAAAUCUGGCGCCAUAGGCAUGGCGUCUUGAAGGCCACAAGGAACGCAGCAAAAAUAAGAGAAACACAAUUCUUAACAUAUUUAUACUUAAACAUUUGUUUAAAAGUGAAAGUACGCGAGUAAUAGAAAAGAUAAAGUAGCCUUUUAUUUAACCGUAGAGUGGUGCAAUGGUCGCGCUUGCAGUUCGCGCUUUUUUCGCAAUUCCGAAACAAGGUUCUAGGCAGGUUCUUUGCAAAAUGAUACGUCCUUUCUAUCAUUUUCGGCGGUGUCGGCUGUUCGAGUUGUUCGCCUGCGUGAAGGUCUAAUGUACUUUUCGAGUGGCUUUAUUUCGUUACUGUGCUUGCUACCUGCAUUGGCUGACCAAGGUAAUUGAAUUUCAGAGGCUGCCAGGAACAACUCCACUAGGGCCAAUGUAUAUCGUACUGUACUUUUGAAACAGCAGCUUGGUUAAAAAGUAGGGAAUCCUGUGCAACUCUAUAAAGGUAAAUUAUCCAGAAGUCAUUGUGCCUACCAAUCCCUGCGUAAGGAGCUGCUUCUUUCUCUGAGGUGGCAUGAUGAAAGAAGUUUCCACGCCUUGAAUCUGAUCAACCAACUUAGCCCUGAUUGUAAGUUGAAAAUUGCAGCUUCGUAUUCCAGGUUGAGGUGAACCUUUUGUUGCAUGAAAAGAAACUGCGUACAAACUGUGGUUACCUUUGGUUUUCUAUUGUGCAUCUAUAAAAAGCAGAGAAAAAAUUUUUGUUCAAGUGAAACGUUUAUUUUCCAAGAUACAGAAUGUCCACUACAGUGGACAACAUGAACACCAGCUUUGGUGGGAAAAAUUUUGAUAAUUUUUUUUCAGCAGCUGAGCUUUUUUCUCGAACACUUGUACACUUGAACACAAAACUUUGAAUGCGGUGCACGCUACUCGGCGUUAUGGAAAAGGAAAAAGCAGUCACUUUUGUCGUCAACGCACAAGUACACCUUGCACUUUCCAUAAAGAUAUGUAGUCUCGCGCUUGCAUUCGCUCAUCUUGCAUCUCUGAGCGACAGAUGCUUGCUGACGGGGACAAUGACCAAUGUUGUAAUGUACGUCUGCAGAAACUGUACUUGCUUUGGAAGAUGGCCUUCGUUUGGCUGUGGCAGAACUUGCCGAUGAUUCCGUAGAAGGGUUGACUUCUUCAGCUGGGGUCUUUUAUUGAGCUUUUAUCAGCCCAAUUGCAACAAGAGCUUGAAGUCGAUGAGUUGCAUGGCACACUCUGCUA